This 301-nucleotide ribosomal RNA is filed under the name uncultured bacterium. RNAcentral describes it as "partial 16S ribosomal RNA". It matches the Rfam family "Bacterial small subunit ribosomal RNA", at positions 509 to 807 of the family's 1533-position model. The record is from RNAcentral.
CAGCCGCCGCGGGAAUACGAAGGGGGCUAGCGUUGUUCGGAAUCACUGGGCGUAAAGGGUGCGUAGGCGGAUCCUUAAGUCAGGGGUGAAACCCCGAGGCUCAACCUCGGAACUGCCUUUGAUACUGGGGAUCUUGAGUCCGGAAGAGGUGAGUGGAACUGCGAGUGUAGAGGUGAAAUUCGUAGAUAUUCGCAAGAACACCGGUGGCGAAGGCGGCUCACUGGUCCGGAACUGACGCUGAGGCACGACAGCGUGGGGAGCAAACAGGAUUAGAUACCCCUGUAGUCCCUGUCUCUUAUAC